AAUCCUCUGUGCAAUGAUUCCAACUCCAGGGAUCAGUGUCUGAAGUGAAGCUACAGAUUGUCUGGUGGAUAAAUAAUCCAAGAAGGAACGGGGGAUGUUAUGACUUUUUGAGAGAAGGCUAACAUGUCAUCCUUGACAGAUAAACUUUAAAAAAUUAUAAUAAUGGAAAUGAAGAAAGAAAACAACAGAAGAUGAGAAUAGCAAAAGAGCUAGACAUUUCCGACAGGUAAGAAAAUGGGAAACAAACCUCUAAAAUGCUUAAGAAAAAUAUUGCAAAUGUGUUUAUCCAAUGUGUAUUUCAUGUUAGAAUAAUCCAGUUUUAAAAAGUAAAUGAAGAUCAUUAAAAAUUGGAAAUAUA
Homo sapiens (human) is the source of this 358-nucleotide long non-coding RNA. Ensembl annotates it as neuropeptide Y receptor Y6 (pseudogene). Its record names the gene NPY6R. The record is from Ensembl. NCBI's taxonomy places the organism in Eukaryota, Metazoa, Chordata, Mammalia, Primates, Hominidae.